This 761-nucleotide ribosomal RNA is filed under the name Phyllosticta podocarpi. RNAcentral's name for it is "eukaryotic LSU rRNA". It matches the Rfam family "Eukaryotic large subunit ribosomal RNA", at positions 87 to 866 of the family's 3401-position model. Lineage: Eukaryota; Fungi; Ascomycota; Dothideomycetes; Botryosphaeriales; Phyllostictaceae. The record is from RNAcentral.
CGGCGAGUGAAGCGGCAAUAGCUCAAAUUUGAAAGCUGGCGUCUUCGACGUCCGCGUUGUAAUUUGUAGAGGAUGCUUCGGCGAGGACUCCUGCCUAAGUUCCCUGGAAUGGGACGUCACAGAGGGUGAGAAUCCCGUAUGUGGCGGGCGGUCCAAGCCAUGUGAAGCUCCUUCGACGAGUCGAGUUGUUUGGGAAUGCAGCUCUAAAUGGGAGGUAAAUUUCUUCUAAAGCUAAAUACCGGCCAGAGACCGAUAGCGCACAAGUAGAGUGAUCGAAAGAUGAAAAGCACUUUGGAAAGAGAGUUAAAAAGUACGUGAAAUUGUUGAAAGGGAAGCGCUUGCAACCAGACUCGUUCGCAGUUGUUCAGCCGGCCUCUUGGCCGGUGUACUCUUCUGCGGUCGGGCCAGCAUCAGUUCGGGCGGCUGGAUAAAGGUGUCGGGAAUGUAGCUCCCCUCGGGGAGUGUUAUAGCCCGGCGCGGAAUGCAGCCAGCCUGGACUGAGGAUCUCGCUUCGGCAAGGAUGCUGGCGUAAUGGUUGUAAGCGGCCCGUCUUGAAACACGGACCAAGGAGUCUAACAUCUAUGCGAGUGUUUGGGUGCCAAACCCAUACGCGUAAUGAAAGUGAACGGAGGUGGGAACCCGCAAGGGUGCACCAUCGACCGAUCCUGAUGUCUUCGGAUGGAUUUGAGUAAGAGCAUAGCUGUUGAGACCCGAAAGAUGGUGAACUAUGCCUGAAUAGGGUGAAGCCAGAGGAAACUCUG